GAUUCCCCCAGUAACUGCGAGUGAAGAGGGAAGAGCUCAUCAUUGGAAUCUGACAGCGUUACGCUGUCCGAGUUGUAGAUGAGGAGUAGUCCAUCUGGACUGCAUGGCGUCCAAGUACAAUAGGCCGUCAGUGGGACAUCAUAGAGGGUGACAAUCCCGUCCUUGAUGCCAAUGUGCAAGUCCGUUACGAUGGCUAUCUCAGAGAGUCGAGCAGUUUGGGAUUUGCUGCUUAAACAUGGGAGGUAGAUUCCUUCUAAAGCUAAAUACAGGCGAGAGACCGAUAGAGAACAAGUACCGCAAGGGAAAGAUGAAAUAGAACUCUGUGAAGGGAGUCAAAAGGCGUGAAAUUGUUGCGAGAGAAGCGAUUCAAGUCAGCGUAGCUAGGCCCAUCAAGCCUCUUUGUGCUUUGGACUAGCUUUGCCAGCGGUCUUGUCCCUUAGAGACUUGACUUUUUUAUGAUGUCCAGCCUGGUAUGCACAGGUAGCCCUUCUUCUGGGGGGGGCCAGUGACAUGGCUGGUGGAAUGGCUUGCAAUCGACCCGUCUUGAAACACGGACCAAGGAGUCUAACAUGUAUGCGAGUAUAAGGGUGGCAAACCCGUAUGCGCAAUGAAAGUAACUUUCGAUGAUUGAGAAUGGCCUGAUGACCAAACAAGCAAUAUAUUCUUGUCCCUCGUACGGCCAUUGCCCAAGUUCCGGGGAAGAUCCCAUGAACAUGGAGUUGGAGCAUACAUGCUAGGACCCGAAAGAUGGUGAACUAUGCCUGGACAAAGCGAAGCCAAAGGAAACUCUGGUGGAGGCUUGUAGCGAUUCUGACGUGCAAAUCGAUCGUCUGAUCUGGGUAUAGGGGCGAAAGACUAAUCGAACCAUCUCAUAGCUGGUUCCUGCCGAAGUUUCCCUCAGGAUAGCAGAGACCUAGUGGAAGUUGCAUGUGGUAAAGCGAAUGAUUAUUGAUCCUGGGGCCCAAAUGGGCCUCAGUCUAUUCUCAAACUGUGAAUGCGUGCGGUUGGACUGUGCUUAGCAAUAGAAGCCCUGCCAGCAAUGCUUCAGUCUCUAGUGGGCCGUUUCUGGUAAGCAGAACUGGCGAUGCGGGAUGAACCGAAAGCGAGGUUAAAGUGCCAGAAUGCACACUAAUCAGAGAUAAAAGGUGUAUGUGCAUGGACACAGCAGGGCAGUGGCCAUGGAGGUUGGCAUCUGCUAAGGAGUGUGUAACAACUCACCUGCCUAAUGUACUUGCCCUGAAAAUGGAUGGCGCUCAAGUGUGUUACUCAUACCUCGCCAUCAGUCUCCAAAGUGAUAAACGGACUGAUGUGUAGGCAGGCGUGAAGGUCAAUCUUCGAAG
This 1340-nucleotide ribosomal RNA is filed under the name Cantharellus lateritius. RNAcentral's name for it is "eukaryotic LSU rRNA". It matches the Rfam family "Eukaryotic large subunit ribosomal RNA", at positions 73 to 1408 of the family's 3401-position model. Lineage: Eukaryota; Fungi; Basidiomycota; Agaricomycetes; Cantharellales; Hydnaceae. The record is from RNAcentral.